GGAACUCGGAAGUAGUUACGAUAUUAUCUAAGAGAACAAACCCAUCUCCUUCUCCUAUACGAUCUGUUCCAAUCUUUCUAUUAGCUCCACCGUGAAGACGAUGGCCUCUCGCGUACGAGCCCCACGGCCGCCGCCUGUGCCGUCUGGGCUCAGCGCCGCCGGCGACGCUUGGGCUGCGCACCUACUGCCCACGCCAUUGCCGCCUGCGCCGUCCAGGGUCAACGCCGCCUGUGCCGCCUAGCACCCACCGUCCACCCAUCGCCGCCUGUGCCUUCCAGGCUGAGCGCCGCCAGAGCUGCGUGCCCCCCGUGUCAUCAGCCAGCCACACGCCCAUCGUUUGCCCCACAGCAGCAGCAUCGACACGCCGCAGAUUCAUCAGUGAUUUUCUUCCUGGUGACUGGCAUGUAACUUUGCAUAUUUGUGCAACUGUAAUUUGGCCAUCAUAGAGGAUAUUUACAACAGCUAGCAGCUAAGGGAAACAUCAGUAUAAUUUGCAGAACUUGUAAUUGAGUACUGGAUAAAUGAAUAGGGACUGGAUUAAUAAGCCCAGAACAACUGCUGCAUAUAAAACAGGAGUAUCUCAAUUCCUAGAAUUUGCAUUCUCUAAUGUACCUCAAUAUGCAAGGGUUAUAUUGUUACUUAUGCACCUGUAACAUUCUAAUCUGUUUUUUAAAUAUAGUGCAAAUGGCAGCAAGGUCCCAAAGACUGCAAGGCUUGGAUUUUUCAGAGAAUGGAGUACAGAAUCAAGAAAUGGUCCCAAAUGAUCACUAUGUUGAAGAAUAGAACAUAACAAAUGCAGAAUGGCGUUCAAACUGCUAUGAGUAUCAUCCUGAUGGCCGCAUUAAAAGACGUCGAGGACCAACUAAACUGGCAAAUGUUGAAAAUCUUCUGAAGGUGUUAAGAUUAUUGUCAAAUUGGAUCGUUUCAAUGCACCUUGCUCACAAUCUUCUGUAGUUCUUGGAUCCUAUUUAGGAACACUUGUCAGGAAGCCACAUCUAGCUCCACUGAACAUUCUUAAAUGGAAUGAUAAACUUUAUAAGAGAAUAUAUCAUCCAAAAUUGAUUUCUGAAGUACAGAGAAAGUUUGCAAUUCAUGGAAGAGCUAAGGAUUGGCUUCUCCACCAGUUAGAUGGAAAAUGGAGGCAAUACAAGUCAAAUCUGAAGAAAAAGUAUUACAAGGCUAACUUACCCAUGGAACGAGUAUUGCAAACGGUACCCCAAACUGUUAAUGAAUCUCAAUGGCCUACACUAGUUUCUUACUGGUACUCAGAGGACUCUAAGAAAAUCAGUGAUCAAAACCAAGAGAAUGCACAAAAUAUUAAGCAUCCACACACAUUAGGAAGAAAGAGCUUUGCAAGAAAGAGGAAAGAGCUGGAACAUGAUGGAGUGGAGGUGGACAGAGCAACCUUCUUUGAUGAAUGCCAUAAGACAAAAGAUGGCAGAUAUGUUAAUGAUGCUACACAAGACAAAAUGAAUGAGGUAUAUAUGAAAUUGGCUGAGAAAAGAGUAGAUGGCCAAGAACUCAGUGAAGCUGAUUUUGAACAAGCUAUGUUAGAAGUGUUUGGAAAGGAUCAUAAUGGUAGAGUUAGAGGCAUGGGUCCAACCAUUACUCCAACAGACUAUUAUGGUGGAAGAUUUUCGAAUAUGUGAGGAAGAAGUGAACAAGGGAGUAGCUCCAGUAAUGUAAAUGGCUUCAUUAGUUUUAUGGUAUCAUAUCUUGCUGAGAAAUAUCCAGAAGAUAAUUUGAUGUCUAGGCUGCCACCUUCACUUGCUAGGCUCAUUCCAAGACAAGAGGUUGAUCAGAACCAAGGAAGUUAGUCAUCAAAUAAUCCUCCAUUCUAUCCUCUCUUCAGUUUGAUCCGAAUUUAACCAAGGAAGCCAGCCACCAAAUACUGCUCCAUCGUCUAGUACUACAGCAUCAUCUCAGACUUGAAGUGAAGAUGACUGAUUUACAAUGGCAACUGCAUCAUUUCGCACUACUUGUUGCAUUAGAAUUAGCACUUGCUGCUGCCGGAAACAUAUUUAAGUUUUCUCGUCAGGAACAAUGUAUGGAUAUUGCUUUUUCUUUAAUGCUAAGCUACUGGUGUUGAAAAUAUUAUCAAUGUGGUAUGAUAGUAACUCAGUCUGGUGAUAUUAUUGUGUUUAUGGA
Non-coding RNA from Oryza sativa Japonica Group (Japanese rice), 2148 nucleotides. The record is from RefSeq and is a predicted model, not a curated record. NCBI's taxonomy places the organism in Eukaryota, Viridiplantae, Streptophyta, Magnoliopsida, Poales, Poaceae.